Molecule: ribosomal RNA, 253 nt
Filed under: uncultured bacterium
Lineage: Bacteria
Description: partial 16S ribosomal RNA
Rfam family: Bacterial small subunit ribosomal RNA
Source: RNAcentral
UACGAAGGGAGCUAGCGUUGUUCGGAAUCACUGGGCGUAAAGCGCACGUAGGCGGACGUGUCAGUCAGGGGUGAAAUCCCGGAGCUCAACUUCGGAACUGCCUUUGAUACAGCACGUCUUGAGUCCGGAAGAGGUGGGUGGAAUUCCUAGUGUAGAGGUGAAAUUCGUAGAUAUUAGGAAGAACACCGGUGGCGAAGGCGGCCCACUGGUCCGGUACUGACGCUGAGGAGCGAAAGCAUGGGGAGCGAACAGG